RNAcentral lists this ribosomal RNA (600 nucleotides) under Marinomonas communis. RNAcentral describes it as "bacterial SSU rRNA". It matches the Rfam family "Bacterial small subunit ribosomal RNA", at positions 79 to 676 of the family's 1533-position model. Lineage: Bacteria; Pseudomonadati; Pseudomonadota; Gammaproteobacteria; Oceanospirillales; Oceanospirillaceae. The record is from RNAcentral.
GCUAGAAGAUGACGAGCGGCGGACGGGUGAGUAACGCGUAGGAAUCUGCCUAGUAGUGGGGGACAACAUGUGGAAACGCAUGCUAAUACCGCAUACGCCCUACGGGGGAAAGGAGGGGAUCUUCGGACCUUUCGCUAUUAGAUGAGCCUGCGUGAGAUUAGCUAGUUGGUGGGGUAAAGGCCUACCAAGGCGACGAUCUCUAGCUGGUCUGAGAGGAUGAUCAGCCACACUGGGACUGAGACACGGCCCAGACUCCUACGGGAGGCAGCAGUGGGGAAUAUUGGACAAUGGGCGCAAGCCUGAUCCAGCCAUGCCGCGUGUGUGAAGAAGGCCUUAGGGUUGUAAAGCACUUUCAGGAGUGAGGAAGGGUGUAUGGUUAAUACCCGUAUAUUUUGACGUUAACUCCAGAAGAAGCACCGGCUAACUCUGUGCCAGCAGCCGCGGUAAUACAGAGGGUGCGAGCGUUAAUCGGAAUUACUGGGCGUAAAGCGCGCGUAGGCGGUUUGUUAAGUCGGAUGUGAAAUCCCAGGGCUCAACCUUGGAAUGGCACCCGAUACUGGCAGGCUAGAGUACGGUAGAGGGGUGUGGAAUUUCCUGUGU